AUUUAAAUAGUUUAUAAAAAUAUUGAUUUGUGGAGUCAAAGUUAAGAACAAAUAUCUUUUUAAAUU
This 66-nucleotide transfer RNA is filed under the name Dodona dipoea. RNAcentral describes it as "tRNA-His". The record is from RNAcentral. Lineage: Eukaryota; Metazoa; Arthropoda; Insecta; Lepidoptera; Riodinidae.